AUUGCUCAAAUUACCAAAUUUCUUCGUGUUUUAUUGUUUAAUCUUGUUAUUUAUUCGUGUUAUUCUAUGAAAAGAAUUAUAUCCAUUAAUGGAGUCAUAGUUCGUGAGAAAAAGUGUUCUCGAGUAGAUAAUAAAUGGACAAUAGGCGUAAGUUUUCCAACAAUUUUAUCACUUUUCGAUCGGUGUUUCAGAUUGAAUUAAUCGUUAAUCAAAUUAAUCAAAUGCUUCGAUGAGAAUUCGGAUUCGCGAGUGUCUUCGUUAUGAACUGUGUUCAGUAAAUCAAUCACUUUCACUGAUGGACGCUGAAGCAGAUAUUUCAUUUCCAUCUACCGGUGACUGCUGACUAAUGGAAUUUGGAAAAUGGAAGCUGCCGGAACUACCGGAACCAGAUAGUACCUACUCUUAUGGUAGUGAAGAUAAAAGAAUUGAAGGCUGCAGUUUGAAAAAUUAUGGUCGCGUUGGAAUCAACAGUGACGUGGUGUAUUAGUAUACGUAUGGCUGAUUGUGGAUAUGUGGAGUUACAAAAAUAGAUUUGAUUGAAACUAUAUGAAGAUGAUGGUGCUCGUAUGUAAUGUAUUAAACCAAGACAAAUAUUCUGCAGUGAUCUCAGAAUCGUGCUUUUGAUGAAUGAAUUUACGUUUGAAUGUGUGACGCGGCCAUGAUUCUGUAUCAUCUGCAGUUGAUCGUCUCCGCGUUGCUGUCAAAUGAAAAUCGUUCGAUGCUGCCUUAAUGGUUUCUGCAUCACCACGCUGUGUCCAAAGAGAAAACUACGUACUUUUUGCCAAACGUCUCGGCGCUGCUGCUACUAGCUAAAAUGAACCUUCUGACUAGCUCUUUUAUCACCGAUUCGUGUAACAACUAACUAUACAGCGCCAACGCACACUCAUUCGGCAUACCGAUCGCUGUCGUCGUUUUCUUCGUGCAGAAUUUUAUAAAAUUCAGAUGGAGCUGAUCAGUUGGAUUUCUGAAUGCAGCAUCUACGAAGUAAGUCGAAACGCAUCUACGGAUUACGGGCUCUCGCUCAGGAUCCGUCGUAACGUUGGUUUAGCUUUGUGCGGCCAACUUGGACAAAACCGUAUCCUGCCAUGGAUGACAUGGGGGGUGUAGUGUCUUUUUGGCUAAGUAUAUUAAAAUAUCACCAAUCAUUUUCAACAUUUAAUAAAUUCAAAUUUAACAGACAAAAAGAAAUAUUCACAUCUAUUUUAUACAUUACGAAUCAUACGAAUAACGUGACGAUAAUUCGAUAAGAUGAACGUUAUUUACACUUUUACAUUGUUGCCAAACAUACAACAUAACACAUCUCCCUUCUAAGAAGAAUACUUCGGAAAAUUAUUUUACAAAUUCAAACGGUCUGGGACCUUUCUUGUUCGUUCGGACAUUCUUACAGGAAUUGGCCCAACUAUCGGAGACACGGCUUUUACUGGCUGCGUAGAUGAUGCAUCGACAACUUCUAUAGCAGGUUCUGCUUGGUUUUGAACAGUAGCAGGUUUAGCAGGAGUCAUCGGAGUAAUUGAUGGCGAUUUUUUCGGUGAAAUCCUCAGCGUUGGUGGAAUCUGCUGUUGGACUGAUGACGGUGUACUCAUCAUAACAUUAUUUCCAACAGGUCGCAUUUGGUCGGCAUGUCGACGAACCAAGCGACUAUCCGGCAAUUGAAUAGUAUAGUUCAGCACUCCGUCUUUAUUUAUGACCGUAACAACCUCCCAACGUUGAUUUCGUGAGGAAUAAUCACGAACAGCAACUUUCUCAGAAACCUUAUAAUCAGGAUCAUUCAAGGAUACUUGUUUUCGAUUUUUCUCGACCCAAGACUUCAAAUCUGGACGGAAAACUGUUAAUAACGAACGCAGCUCACAACCUAACAUCAACUUGGCUGGUGAUUGGCCAGUUGCAAUACUCGGAGCUCUACGAUAAGCAAAUAAAAACGUAUUCAAACGUUCUUGAACUGCAGCUUGACUAUCAGUAUCUGCUGAUUCUUUCUUCAACGCACGUAAGCUUUGUUUUAAGGUAUAAACAAAAUGCUCAGCCUGUCCAUUUGAUGCUGCAUGAAAUGGAGCACACGUUUUAUGAUCAAUUGCAUAAGCUGUGCGAAAUUUAUCGAACUCUGUACUCGUGAAGGCAGUACCAUUGUCCGAACGAACAAGAAAGGUCCCAGACGUGACCGUUUGAAUUUGUAAAAUAAUUUUCCGAAGUAUUCUUCUUAGAAGGGAGAAGUGUUAUGUUGUAUGUUU
Molecule: long non-coding RNA, 2225 nt
Organism: Planococcus citri (citrus mealybug)
Lineage: Eukaryota; Metazoa; Arthropoda; Insecta; Hemiptera; Pseudococcidae
Exons: 4
Source: RefSeq, a predicted model, not a curated record